UUAAUUACAUUAUUAUCUUAAUAUCUCUUAUUAGCUUAAUUAAAGUCUAUUAGCAUUAUUUUACCAUUGUAAAGGACAAUUAACAUUCUCCUAGCAGAAAGUAAACCAUGAAAAGUAAGACUUCAUGGCGGACAUUUGCCGGCAUGAAGAAUGAAGUGAUGACAUAAAAGCAAUUACUAGGAAGUCAAAUGAUAAUAUUCAUGCAGCUUUCUGUCGACUUGCAGUGAGAAUGGGACGAUUGGAGCUGAGAACCUCAACCGCAAUCUGCCCAAACAUGUGAAAUAGAAAUCUGUCCUUGUUUAGUGUACUUGGUACUAAUAAUGGAUCUGUGACAGCAUUAUUCGAAUGCUAGAUGGCAGUGAUUUUGUUGCCAAUUAGUGUCUUUAAUUGCUUUAUCUAUCUCUGAUUUUGUUGCCAAGUAGCAAGUAUCACAGAGUACAGAAGAAAGAGGGAAGAGAGGAAGAAAAAAAAGCAAGCAAGCAAUCAAUCACAUCAUUUCUUUCUUUUCCACUGUUAUUAUCACUGCCAUCUAGCUUUCACAUAAUGGUGUCUCAGAUCCAUUAUUAGUACAAGUUUAUUACACACGGGUGGAUUUCUAUUCACAUGUUUAGGCAGCUCGCGGUUGGGCUUCUCAACUGAGAUCGUCCCAUUCUCACCAACCUCAAGCAUUUGUGCUUCCUCUUCCACGAUGACCCAUGGCGAAUGCAGAUAGGGGUGUCAUCGGAACUGUGUUCCCAACCUUCCUAGAGACGAGACGUUCCAAUCCUUCAGACAAACCGAACAGCAAUGGGAGCAGGAGGCGAUUCAAUGCCAGAGGAGGAUCCACCAUUUUUCGUGAGGGAGGCAGGCAGCAUUGUGUUGGCCGCUGGAGUCGCUUCUUGGAGCUACAACAAUGGCGAAAUACCUGUUGUUGCGAUUACUGUCUUUGACAAGAGUAGCAAUGCCAAUCAACCAGAUUACUAGCACAAAGGGGAUGCCUCAGUAUAAGAAGAGUAGUGAGUCCUUGAAACAAAGACAAGAAAGUGGAUUGCUUGGAUUUAAGGUAGCAUGUCUGUUGCUUGUUUCAGUUGUCGAGUCCAUCACUGGUUGUCAUGUCCCGCACCAUUAUGAGAAAUCCAGAAAGAGGCAGCCAUGCACUAACCAGGUUGAUGGUGCAACCGCAAGACAUCAUCACAAGUGCGCACGACGGGAGACUGAGUGCUCUCCAUGAGUCCCAUCUGGCGAGAGAUCGAGAAGCCAUCGUGGGCGCUAUCAUCCAUCAACAUGGUAGGGUUUACUACCGUGCCACUGUUGAAGAUGGAUUCCAGUUUGAGGAUCUGCUCGGGUGCGCGUGACGGUGCCGUCGGGCGCAGAUCUCUGCAGGCUGGAGCUGUUUCUGCGGCCUCGGUUACUGUCUUCCAUGGCCGAAGUGGCUUGUAGCUGGAGCGAAGAAGAGGAAACCGAAGUCACCGGAAGCAGUGAUGCGAAGGAAAAGAGAUGCGUCAAGUGUUCACAUACACAAGAUCUUACGGAUGAUGGUAUACGAUGAUAACGUGCCGAGCAUAAGUGGAGGAAGUCCUCAAGGAAGAAAUAGUCAAAGAGGAAGGCUGAUGCAAAGAAGAAGCACACAAUAUAAUAACAUGUCGGUGCGAGAGAGAGAGAGAGAGAGAGGGA
Molecule: non-coding RNA, 1653 nt
Organism: Musa acuminata subsp. malaccensis (wild Malaysian banana)
Lineage: Eukaryota; Viridiplantae; Streptophyta; Magnoliopsida; Zingiberales; Musaceae
Source: RefSeq, a predicted model, not a curated record